CACGUAGGGUGCGAGCGUUGUCCGGAAUUAUUGGGCGUAAAGAGCUCGUAGGCGGUGUGUCGCGUCGGCCGUGAAAACCUGGGGCUUAACUCUGGGCGUGCGGUCGAUACGGGCAUCACUGGAGUUCGGCAGGGGAGACUGGAAUUCCUGGUGUAGCGGUGAAAUGCGCAGAUAUCAGGAGGAACACCGGUGGCGAAGGCGGGUCUCUGGGCCGAUACUGACGCUGAGGAGCGAAAGCAUGGGUAGCGAACAGG
This 254-nucleotide ribosomal RNA is filed under the name uncultured bacterium. RNAcentral describes it as "partial 16S ribosomal RNA". It matches the Rfam family "Bacterial small subunit ribosomal RNA", at positions 524 to 776 of the family's 1533-position model. The record is from RNAcentral.